AGUCGAACGGCAGCACGGAGCUUGCUCUGGUGGCGAGUGGCGAACGGGUGAGUAAUAUAUCGGAACGUACCCAGGAGUGGGGGAUAACGUAGCGAAAGUUACGCUAAUACCGCAUACGUCCUAAGGGAGAAAGUGGGGGAUCGCAAGACCUCAUGCUCAUGGAGCGGCCGAUAUCUGAUUAGCUAGUUGGUAGGGUAAAAGCCUACCAAGGCAACGAUCAGUAGCUGGUCUGAGAGGACGACCAGCCACACUGGAACUGAGACACGGUCCAGACUCCUACGGGAGGCAGCAGUGGGGAAUUUUGGACAAUGGGCGCAAGCCUGAUCCAGCAAUGCCGCGUGAGUGAAGAAGGCCUUCGGGUUUGUAAAGCUCUUUUUGUCAGGGAAGAAAAGG
Molecule: ribosomal RNA, 393 nt
Filed under: Janthinobacterium sp. Z1S-T1.2
Lineage: Bacteria; Pseudomonadati; Pseudomonadota; Betaproteobacteria; Burkholderiales; Oxalobacteraceae
Description: bacterial SSU rRNA
Rfam family: Bacterial small subunit ribosomal RNA
Source: RNAcentral